AUAGUUUUCUUAACAUAGGUUCCAAGAAGCUUCAUGCAAUCGUCCCCAGCUCCAGAAAGUGACAGCUCCAAAAAUUGAAGCUUUGAAAACUUGGGAAUGAAGUUCAAAAAUUCUCCAUAGUAUUUGCUAUCACUGGAAUAACCAAGCACUAACGUCUUCAAGUCCUUAAAAUUUUUGAAAAACCGUAAGAAUCAUUCUCGUUUCUUAAAACAUUGAUGUGUAUUUUCUUAGUUUCUUACCGGAAUCUUUAAUCCAGCUAAUCGGAGCACAUUGAUAUUUCCUCUCCAACAUUUAAGGUCCAAUGUUCGUAGUUCUUCCAACACAACUGUGGCUGAAAUUGAUGGAUUAAAACAAACACUUUACAGGGUAAAACAAAAAUGACUAACUUACGCAAAUGCUCAAACGGACUGCUCGUGUUUUCCUCUAAAUCCGGUGAGCCCAUACCGACUUUUUUAUGAAAGUAAUUUUCAUUGUCCAAAAUAAAAUCAACGCAGAUUUUCGACAGCGACCUAACACUUUUAACUCGCGGCAUUUCAACUGAAAUUUCGAUUGAGUGUAGGCAGUACGCGCAACACCAAAGUUCCUUGACAAAUUUUUUGGCAGGCUUGACUUAAAAGUACCGUAAGAAUAAAUGACCGAAAGACUUCUGAUGGAAUCUUUAAAACGUAUAGGUGACUAAGUCACCUUUGUUGUCCUUCAAAAAAAGAAGAGCAUUAUCAAUCCUCGUGGGAGUGUUACACAUAGUUCCCCGUUUGCUGGACAAGGUGACGAUGCAAGUUCAAGGGUAAACAUUGGUAGGGGAAGAGUCUCAUAUUGAUAAAUUGAGAUUGCUCUAGGGAGAUGAUCAGUUUUGACAUUGGAAACAAUUUGUUUCUAGUUGACAUAUGGUAACAAAGUUUGGAAAUUUUUUUCUUGUUUGUGCUAUUAGUGUCUAUUUUGUAUGUUAACGAAAUAAUUUUUUACAGACUGGGUGGAUGGGCAUUGACGCGACAUCCGUGUAACAAAGGACAAUCUGAUUGAAAAAUUACAUACGAAAUAUCUCUUUGAGUUCGCGCCCUUCUCGACUGCCAAUGUGCCAUUCGGGAAAAAAGGUUGUUGAAAUUGAAUCAAUGGAAAAAAAUAUCAUUUAAUUUUAAAUAAUUAAUUUUGUUUAAUCGGCAAGAAUUAUUACGUUUUUUAUAUUCAUGUAAAAUGGUAUUUUCUGUUAUAAAUUUAUCAUACACCUGUAGAUCAGUUUUUCUGUUGUGGCAACGUAGCAAGCCACUUUCAAUUUUACUUCAAGCAUUUUUUGUGCAAACAAGUGGUUUCUGCCGUCCACGUUUAGUUUUGUUUAGACUCUUAAUUUUGAGUGUUUGAAGGUAUGAGAUUUUAAGGUGGUAAGGAGAUUGGAAUGUCGUGGGAUAACGGAUUAUUCAGACCUGGAUUUCCCAAGACAGAGUCCUUUGAAAACCCAUACAACACCCAACGGCUAGUGGGAGACUUUACCCCAUUUUACAUCACUAUUGCAAUCUGCACAGUGUUCUUUGCCAUUAUCUUGAUCUUGAACAUUAUCUGUUGCUGUUCUGAACGUUACAAGAGCUACUGGCAGGAUCCACACACAGGCAAUCGUUGGAUUCUCUCUCUUUGGGUCACAUCACCAAAAUACCAACCACCUCUAACAGUUUAACUGAGAGCUGUACCUCAAAAUGUUUCACGUGUAUUGGCCUACAUUGGCAGUUGUUGCCUUGUUUGUUGUUUGUGUAAUUGUGUUGAUUUUACGUUUCUCCGACAAGUGGUGCGGCGCUAGACACAGCACUUUGCCUGCUGUUGGGGCGUACGAAUCCACCGAAGACAUGGAAAUGGUAGCUUACGACCAUAGCGUCCACACUGAAAAGGAAUUUGCCGUAUAAUUUUAGAUUCUGUUUGUUAGAGAGAGAUGUAGCUACAUUCCACACCUACUGAAUCCGUCCACCAUGCCUUCACAAUUAUCUGACAUUCGAAGGAUUAUCUUUUUUACAUUUUUAAAUCUACCUGUAACGUCCUAUUGACGAAUCUCAAAUAAAACACAUUCUGGAGAUUA
Long non-coding RNA from Daphnia pulex (common water flea), 2059 nucleotides. RefSeq lists it as uncharacterized. The record is from RefSeq and is a predicted model, not a curated record. The transcript is spliced from 5 exons. Lineage: Eukaryota; Metazoa; Arthropoda; Branchiopoda; Diplostraca; Daphniidae.